This 803-nucleotide long non-coding RNA is filed under the name Dromaius novaehollandiae (emu). RNAcentral describes it as "lncRNA (ENSDNVG00000006641.1)". The record is from RNAcentral. Lineage: Eukaryota; Metazoa; Chordata; Aves; Casuariiformes; Dromaiidae.
GUGCAGCUGGCAGCAGGAUUUGGCUCUGUUGGUCAGCAUCCCAGCGGUGGGAAUUCAGAUGGCUCCUGUGCUGGUGYUGCGGUCCCACCGUCACCUUUCCCUCACAGAGAGGGGGAGACGUGCUGUAGAGGGGAGGCAGCGCUGCAAUCGGCCAGCCCUUGGGGCACUGCCAGCACAGAGAGGGAGCAASACAGCCUGCUGAGGAGUCCUGCAGAGUGGAGCUGGCGGCAGAGAAUACCGGGAUCCUGCUCGGCAGCUUUGCUGACCUGCCUGGUGGGGUCUGCAGGACCAGCUUACCCCAACCUUCGCGCCAAAGAGAAGGACUACGGCCCUACGUGGAACAUCAGAGCCACUGCAGGAGACAUUUCGGCAGCAAYCGUGUUUCCAGUCAGUUAUCCCGCAAAGGAGCACACAGAGGCCGUAAUUGAAUUUGGAGCUGUGUUGUACCAGGCACCACAGAAUUAGGAUGCAGUCCCUGAAGAACACGCAGUCAGCUUGAGAACGUGUCCCUGCAAGAAAGAAGAAAAGUUAUUUGAUGUCUUUUUAUAGCUUAAGAUAUGCAAAGAUGCAAAAGUAAUGGGUGCCAAUGUUAGCAGUGAAAUCUAUUUGAUCUUAUUAAUUUUUAAAUAAUCCAUGUUUUCGUUUCUUUGUCAUUACUACAUUUCCUCACGUUAUCUAAGUACUGUGUGCUGCAUUUUUUGCAAAGUAUGAGGAAGAUUAGUCAAGCGUCUUUUGAGUUACAGGUCAUUACAGUUUCCUAUGACUACAGAGCUAUUUAAUAAAAACAAUUAAACAUUAUGACA